UGGGGAAUAUUGGACAAUGGGCGCAAGCCUGAUCCAGCCAUGCCGCGUGAGUGAUGAAGGCCCUAGGGUUGUAAAGCUCUUUCACCGGUGAAGAUAAUGACGGUAACCGGAGAAGAAGCCCCGGCUAACUUCGUGCCAGCAGCCGCGGUAAUACGAAGGGGGCUAGCGUUGUUCGGAAUUACUGGGCGUAAAGGGUGCGUAGGCGGCGCUCUAAGUUUGGUGUGAAAUCUCCCGGCUUAACUGGGAGGGUGCACUGAAAACUGGGGCGCUCGAGUAUGGGAGAGGAAAGCGGAAUUCCUGGUGUAGCGGUGAAAUGCGUAGAGAUCAGGAGGAACACCUGCGGUGCAGACGGCUUUCUGGACCAUCACUGACGCUGAGGCACGAAAGCGUGGGUAGCAAACA
Molecule: ribosomal RNA, 402 nt
Filed under: uncultured bacterium
Lineage: Bacteria
Description: bacterial SSU rRNA
Rfam family: Bacterial small subunit ribosomal RNA
Source: RNAcentral